CGCUUAUUCCACACAGAUUUCACGGUUUUGUAUGUAAUACGAACAUCUUGGAAACACUAAUAGUUAGUUAGACGUCCGUUAGAACUGAAAUUCUGCGAAAAAUGAAUUGAACAGACGCCGAUUUUUAGAUUUGAAUGGAAAGUAGGUCAAUCCCCUCCAUGUUUUCCUCCACCAUCCGUAUACCGCGUCACCUACACCUUAUACACAUGUUCUUUUCAGUACAGCGUAUAUAAAUCCGAUGUAAAAAAAAAGGGGUCAAUCAAACUAAAAACGAAGAUUGAAAGCGAAAAUUGUUGUGAUCUCAUUUCACUGGGGAGGGAAAUGUUUACACGUUGAAAUUAAAAUGAUGUGUGCAUUUUAAAGAAUUAAAAAAAGAAGAAUGCAACGGUUAUCGUUCCCGGAACAAGAGAGAGAACCGAGUUCAUGAGCCCGGGUCCAAGAAGGGCCAUCAUGAAUAGAGGGGGUCGAAGGAUAGGUUUUGGAAUUCUUUAGACUUUUCCCAGCAAACUGGAAAGGUUUCAGCCCUUUUCUCUCUCUUCUUAUUGAGAAUGAUGGAAAGUUUAAAAGGCGAAAGACGACGAUGACGUUGUUCAACUCGCACGCACACACACACAACCGGAGAAGGGAUCUAACGAGGGCUGUUGGAACGAGAAAGCCGCCCACAAGAAGCCAAAGAAAACCCAUAUCUGGUUAUCCAUGAAGAUGAAGAAGAAAGAGGCAAACUCUUGUUCGAGUUGUAGGUCAUUAGGUCAUGGUGCAAUCACCUUCCUCUCUCUAUUCUUCCAUCUGUUUCUCUUCUCUUUUUGGGCUUGCAUAUACACAAAUUGUGUGUACAAAGAAUGGCCUACAGGUAAAAGAAUAAAACAAAUGCUCCAUC
Daphnia magna is the source of this 877-nucleotide long non-coding RNA. RefSeq lists it as uncharacterized. The record is from RefSeq and is a predicted model, not a curated record. NCBI's taxonomy places the organism in Eukaryota, Metazoa, Arthropoda, Branchiopoda, Diplostraca, Daphniidae. The transcript has 2 exons.